UGUAGCUCAGUGGUAGAGCACUUGCCUAGCAUGUGUGAGGAGCUGGGUUCAAUCCCUAGCA
Molecule: transfer RNA, 61 nt
Filed under: Fukomys damarensis (Damara mole-rat)
Lineage: Eukaryota; Metazoa; Chordata; Mammalia; Rodentia; Bathyergidae
Rfam family: tRNA
About the family: Transfer RNA (tRNA) molecules are approximately 80 nucleotides in length. Their secondary structure includes four short double-helical elements and three loops (D, anti-codon, and T loops). Further hydrogen bonds mediate the characteristic L-shaped molecular structure. tRNAs have two regions of fundamental functional importance: the anti-codon, which is responsible for specific mRNA codon recognition, and the 3' end, to which the tRNAs corresponding amino acid is attached (by aminoacyl-tRNA synthetases). tRNAs cope with the degeneracy of the genetic code in two manners: having more than one tRNA (with a specific anti-codon) for a particular amino acid; and 'wobble' base-pairing, i.e. permitting non-standard base-pairing at the 3rd anti-codon position.
Source: Rfam by way of RNAcentral